Danaus plexippus (monarch butterfly) is the source of this 538-nucleotide long non-coding RNA. RefSeq lists it as uncharacterized. The record is from RefSeq and is a predicted model, not a curated record. NCBI's taxonomy places the organism in Eukaryota, Metazoa, Arthropoda, Insecta, Lepidoptera, Nymphalidae. The transcript is spliced from 2 exons.
CCCAAACGACCAUCCGUCAAACAAUUGACACACAGCACACAUUCAUUAAUCGACUCUGUUUGUGAAAGAAUUGGAAGGCAGAUAAUGGCUUAUGGCGAAAACGUACACAUAGAGAAAAUGGAGAAUCAGGAUUAUCAUCGGCAUUAUAAGCUGAAUAUACAGAACCUAUAACCAGUGCAUCAUCAGCUGCUACAUCGGGCUCCACCUAAAUUAUCAAAUCAAAUUUCUUUCUCAUAAUCCUCUCCAAUAAACGACAUACUUUCUCAAGGGUCAAUAAAUACUUGUAAAUAUCUAUUCUUACCAAAGAGGUCAUGUAAUCUUGGAAGUAGUUUGCAAAACCUUCAUUUAACCAAGUGUUGCUCCACCAGUGGCAUGUGACGAGGUUACCGAACCACAUAUGAGUUGUUUCAUGGGCCACAAUUUGUGCUACUCUGUAUUUAAAAUAUGGCGUGGAUUCUUCAGGAACAUACAACAAAAGAGAUUCCCUGAAAAUUUUUAAAUUUGAAGUACUACUUUAAAAUAAAAUUCUUUAAAUCUG